Molecule: long non-coding RNA, 988 nt
Organism: Olea europaea var. sylvestris
Lineage: Eukaryota; Viridiplantae; Streptophyta; Magnoliopsida; Lamiales; Oleaceae
Exons: 2
Source: RefSeq, a predicted model, not a curated record
AAUUCUUAACAAACUCCAUAUAUUAUUUAUGUAGUCUACUAUUUAAUUAAUUAAGUUUAUGGUUAAUAUUUAAUUAGUAUGCAUAAACUAUUAGUUAUUUUAGACUAAACUUAUCCUAAUGAUCACGUGUGCAAAGGAUAUGCUCCAGUAAUGUCUCCUCAUUAUUAUAGUAGUUGGUUUGGGCCCCAAUAUCAAAAGUUAAUCCCCAAGUCAGAUUAUAUCAAACAGGAGGUUAGGAUUUCCAAACCAAAUUUCUGGGAUGUACUUGGACGAAAUUUAGAGUUCUAAUUUCAGUGAAAUUCCACUCCCCACGUGAUUACCCUACACCGUGGUUUAGUAUAAAUAUAGCACUAAGCCUCAAGCAUUCAGUAAUUAAUUCCUCAUUCUUCUUCUGCGCGUCUUUAUUCUCUCCUCCUCUUUAAAAUAUUUCUCCAUAUUAUUAAGGCUUUUUAAGGCUUUGGAAUUGCAAUAAAGAAUCACGUUUUCAGCAAUUUUACUUUCCACGUUCAUCUUCAAAAGGUGAGAUGCUCAGUGCUAUUAGUGGUUUGUCCACAUCUUUUCAAAAACGUUGUUAUGUAUGGAUUUAAUUACUUCAGUUCAGAGCUCUUUUGGGAGAAAUCAUGAUACAGUUUAAGGCACAAUUUAACCUUCACGUUAUUUGCAGCGCUUGCUUGAAUUAUCAUUUGUCAUGGUGUGAUAAUUCUCAUGUUAUGUUGGUAGAAAUUAGUAUGCUGGACGACGGUGGAUGGAUGCAUAUUGGACCAAUGGAUCUCCAUCAUGAAGUACUUUAAUUUUUAGAAACACUAGAAUAUUUAUUAACAGUUGAUUAUUAUUAUUUUUAAAUUUAGACUCAAUUGUGAGUCACGUCAUAACUUUCAAUUAGUCCUAUUUUUAUUAUUUGUUAGAACUACUUUUAUUAAUGUUUGAUAAAAGAUAUGAUUCCAAAUUGUUCCGCAUAUGUUAUUUAAUUUAAUUUACCUUUUGUUAA